Molecule: transfer RNA, 63 nt
Filed under: Pediopsoides anchorides
Lineage: Eukaryota; Metazoa; Arthropoda; Insecta; Hemiptera; Cicadellidae
Description: tRNA-Glu
Source: RNAcentral
AUUUAUAUAGUUUUAAAUAAAACAUUUUAUUUUCAUUAAAAAAAAGGUGAAAACCUAUAAAUU